UACAGAGGGGGCAAGCGUUGUUCGGAAUUACUGGGCGUAAAGGGCGCGUAGGCGGCCUGCUAAGUCGAACGUGAAAUCCCUGGGCUCAACCCAGGAACUGCGUCCGAUACUGGUUGGCUUGAAUCCGGGAGAGGGACGUGGAAUUCCGGGUGUAGCGGUGAAAUGCGUAGAUAUCUGGAGGAACACCGGUGGCGAAGGCGACGUCCUGGACCGGCAUUGACGCUGAGGCGCGAAAGCCAGGGGAGCAAACGGG
RNAcentral lists this ribosomal RNA (253 nucleotides) under uncultured bacterium. RNAcentral describes it as "partial 16S ribosomal RNA". It matches the Rfam family "Bacterial small subunit ribosomal RNA", at positions 524 to 776 of the family's 1533-position model. The record is from RNAcentral.